RNAcentral lists this ribosomal RNA (495 nucleotides) under uncultured bacterium. RNAcentral describes it as "partial 16S ribosomal RNA". It matches the Rfam family "Bacterial small subunit ribosomal RNA", at positions 28 to 507 of the family's 1533-position model. The record is from RNAcentral.
GAUGAACGCUGGCGGCGUGCCUAAUACAUGCAAGUAGAACGCUGAAGGAGGAGCUUGCUCUUCUGGAUGAGUUGCGAACGGGUGAGUAACGCGUAGGUAACCUGCCUGGUAGCGGGGGAUAACUAUUGGAAACGAUAGCUAAUACCGCAUGACAACAGUUAUUGCAUGAUAACUGUUUAAAAGGGGCAACUGCUCCACUACCAGAUGGACCUGCGUUGUAUUAGCUAGUUGGUGAGGUAACGGCUCACCAAGGCGACGAUACAUAGCCGACCUGAGAGGGUGAUCGGCCACACUGGGACUGAGACACGGCCCAGACUCCUACGGGAGGCAGCAGUAGGGAAUCUUCGGCAAUGGACGGAAGUCUGACCGGGCAACGCCGCGUGAGUGAAGAAGGGUUUCGGAUCGUAAAGCUCUGUUGCAAGAGAAGAACGAGUGUGAGAGUGGAAAGUUCACACUGUGACGGUAUCUUAACAGAAAGGGACGGCUAACUACGUG